Molecule: ribosomal RNA, 401 nt
Filed under: uncultured bacterium
Lineage: Bacteria
Description: bacterial SSU rRNA
Rfam family: Bacterial small subunit ribosomal RNA
Source: RNAcentral
UGGGGAAUCUUGCACAAUGGGGGAAACCCUGAUGCAGCGACGCCGCGUGAACGAUGAAGCCCUUCGGGGUGUAAAGUUCUUUCGGCAGGGGCGAUGAUGACAGUACCUGCAGAAGCAGCUGCGGCUAACUACGUGCCAGCAGCCGCGGUAAUACGUAGGCAGCGAGCGUUGUUCGGAGUUACUGGGCGUAAAGGGUGUGUAGGCGGUUCUCUAAGUUUGGUGUGAAAUCUCCCGGCUCAACCGGGAGGGUGCGCCGAAAACUGGAGGGCUAGAGUGCGGGAAGGGAGAGUAGAAUUCCUGGUGUAGCGGUGAAAUGCGUAGAUAUCAGGAGGAAUACCGGUGGUGCAGACGGCUCUCUGGACCGCAACUGACGCUGAGACACGAAAGCGUGGGUAGCAAAC